Molecule: non-coding RNA, 1611 nt
Organism: Phalacrocorax carbo (great cormorant)
Lineage: Eukaryota; Metazoa; Chordata; Aves; Suliformes; Phalacrocoracidae
Source: RefSeq, a predicted model, not a curated record
CAGCCUUUCUGAUCGUAAUUGCUGCCACAGAGGCCCUGCUGUCAACAGCGAGUAUCUCCCGUCCAUGGAGGCAAGUUUGGCGGAUCGCUUUUCUUGCGUCUCUGCACUGCUCACUCGGCUCCUGGGCUGCUGCGUCUGUAUUUCCCCUUCACAUGUCAUCCAUCACUCAGGUCCCAGUACACCUUCUUCAUGGUUUCUGAUGCAAAGGCUCAAUGAAAAAUUUCCUGUAAGAAAAAAAGUGUUGUCUAGUGGAAAAAAAAUCUCGCUAGGCAAAAUUCUGCACCUCUCCUCUACUAGGCUUCACAGACGUACUGCGGCUGUGGUCAGUGUGCCAACAAGAGCUCCACACUGAGGCAGGAGAACAGCUGCUUCCAUUUGGAUUAGUUGUUGGGGCAGGGGUCUGUAAAUGUUAGAAGUAGUUAUUUCAGCCAAAACUGUGUGACGUGCUGCCAAGUGAAUUAUAUCAGCAUUAGAUGAUAUUAGUGAAUAUGCUAAGAAGGAAUACCCAAAGAAGUAGAGCAACGCAGGCAGCUUGCUGAAAAGUGAAACCUGUAGUGAAAACUUAAUUAAUCAAAGUCCUUGUAUCUAUUAGUUUCUCUCUCUCUGCCAGGUAGUACGUGAACUGAGAGUUUUAUUUUGUUUUUCAUAUGAAUAGUGCAACUUACCUGAAAAAUUGUUCUGUCACGUCUUUCAGAGGCAGAUCUUUGGGCUUUCCCGUUCAGGCAAAAUAGAGCCUAUUGUCACAUACAGACCUACUUGUAGUUGGAAUUAAAUUUUACUGAAUGUGGACCAGUCUGCUGUCCCUGUCCUUCACUAAGACAGUAUCUGCAGAAGAAAUGCCAGUAGCAUAAAUUACAGCAAUGCUUAGGCAGGCAGCCCAGGAUUAGAAGUGUAUAGGGUUUUGUGUGAUGUGACUGCAUAGAUCUUGGGUUGCACCAAAAUGUGGACCCUUUUUCAGCUCAAACCUACUAUUCAGAGUAUACAAUUGUAAAGAAAAGUGUUACUGCUGGAACACAAGGCUCUUGGGAAUGUGCUUUUAGUAAAUAUUCUGUUUAUAAAGCAGCGGUUUUGCAAGCAGCAAAUUUAUUAUUUGUAAUUUCAUCUCUGUUUUUAAAUGAAUAUAUUUGACUUAUAUUCAAGAAUUUAAGAUGUUCUUAGCUAAACACAUUAGAAAGUUAAGAUACAGCAUGUUCUGUUAAUUGUGGUUGUAGGCAUUCUUCUGAGAACUUUUAUCAUUUAAUACACUUUGGCUUUUAUGUCACUGCGAAAAAAUUCUCUGAUGUGCAUCAUUGUACAUCUGAUAAAGCUGGCUGCAGCUAAUCCUGUAAUGCUGCCCUACACCUGGUCUUUUGUCUUUCGCAUAUUUUGAUCACACAACCAUUAGUUUUGGAAUCACAGGUCACAAAAAUCAAGUUGUUCAUUUAGUUUAAGAAAGAGAAAAUUCAUCUGUUUCUGUUAUUAGUCGUCAUCAGAGAUGCAUGGUGACACCUGCAGCAAGUUUUGCAUAUUUGGGACAAAAGUGAUGGGUUGCUCCACCUCGUCUAGUAGGAGGCGAUUUACUAAGUGGAGAGGAUGUGUAGGCAGGCAAGCACACCAUACCUUACCUUAUUA